AGAGGUUACUGCUAUCGAGGUUCGACUAAGCCAUGCGAGUCGAAUGUCCGUAAGGACAUGGCGAACUGCUCAGUAACACGUGGACAACCUGCCCUUUGGACAGGGAUACCCCUGGGAAACUGGGACUAAUCCCUGAUAAGUCUCCGUAGCUGGAAUGCUCGGAGACGGAAAGCUCCGGCGCCACAGGAUGGGUCUGCGGCCUAUCAGGGUAGUAGUGGGUGUAGAGUACCCACUAGCCUACGACGGGUACGGGUUGUGAGAGCAAGAGCCCGGAGAUGGAUUCUGAGACACGAAUCCAGGCCCUACGGGGUGCAGCAGGCGCGAAACCUCUGCAAUGCGGGAAACCGUGACAGGGGGAUUCCAAGUGCUCAUGCAUUGCAUGGGCUGUUCUUUGGUCUAA
This 400-nucleotide ribosomal RNA is filed under the name uncultured archaeon. RNAcentral's name for it is "bacterial SSU rRNA". It matches the Rfam family "Archaeal small subunit ribosomal RNA", at positions 19 to 422 of the family's 1478-position model. The record is from RNAcentral.